ACGUGGCUAGCUCCUACCUUGUAUGUUUGGUCCCCUGUCCAUUGAUAUUGUCCGUCCAAAUCUUUAGAAUUAUAUGUAUGUAGCCUGUAUUUCUCAACGUUGCUAUGUUGUGGUCUAAAUACUGAUUGUUAUCUUACUGCAAUUGCAUUUGAUUUGAUUGCGCCGUUGUGUCGUGGUCUCACUCUCCAUAGAGAUUUUGGCAUGGUUCUGACUAGCAAAUUUCUAGAAUAUUGUAAGUCAGUUUUUGGUUCAUCUUGUUUGGAAACCAGGAUACUGUGAUGUAAAUGCUGAAGUCCUUGCCCCUUCACACAUCAGCAAAACUAAGUGCUACUCUACUUUUAUUUUUCCUCACUUUAAAACAGAUAAACAGAAGCAAAAGUUGCUCUUCCUGUUCACGUAUCAUAACAGGAUGCAGAGGUUGCUUUCCCUGUGUUUGCCUUAAGUACUAAACACAUCACAAAUAGAAGGAAUUACUAGCUGCAGUUCACGGCUGUAGUCACGGCUGUAGUUGAGGUUGAUGCAGAGGAGCCGAACCACACAAAUGCACGACUCUCCUCUUAUUUCUCUAUCAAACUAUUGUCAUAUCCGAGAAAAAUAUGAAUUCGUUUCCAAGUCCCAAAUAUCAUUGGCUUCACUCUGUAUAUUAAAGAGAGACAUACCAGAUUUUAUACACACAAAAAAUCAUAUUGCUUACAAAUGGAUUUUAGGAAUUUUGGACAAGAUAAGUGGAAUACCGUUAGUAAACGAGCAUAGUACCCAUAUUCCUGCAAACCGUCUGCAUUUGUUCCAGUCAUUUUCUCUAUAGGUGCUUCGCAUUGUGCAACUGGAAUGUACUUCUCUCCUGUCUAUGCAAAAAAUAAAUCAGAAUAAACAUUAGUUGAGUUAUUACUAAAUCUAUAGGCUGUUUUGAUAAGUGAUAAGAGAUUUACAGAAGAAGAUUGUUUUUCGGGAAUGACUUUAGCUGUCCCUUUUUUCUUUUUACUGGGAUGUUGAUUAUCAAGCCAUGAUUUCUUCGUUUUUGAAGUCUUCUGCUGAAUUUCCUUUUUAUUCAGACAAGCUGUUUGCAAACAAAUGUCUGGUUCCUGAGAUAUAGCUUCAGUUCUGCAUGUAGUAGUAGGAGCUUUGUCUUCAACUUGCUUCUUUAGAUUCUUCAAAGCAUCAUCUACUAAUUUUAUGCACUCUUGUGAUGCAACUGCUUGGGAAGCUAUGCCAAGGAACUCAUGCAUGAAAAACUUAAGCUGCUGCCUAUCUUCCGAUCUAGGGUCUUCCAAAACAAUGUUGCCAUGGCUGUUUUGAAUAGUCCCGCUUCGUGCUUCUCGAGUCCAUCGCUUCAAAAUAUAGUGGCUUGGAAGAUACUUAAUAUUCAUGACAUCAAGGGCUUUCAAAGCAUGACUACACAAUAUACCAACUCUUUCGAAUUGACCACAACUACAUAGAACUUUUUGCUCUUCAUCAACCAGAACUUUGCAUUCUUCCUCAUAAGAGCAUUCCGGGUCAAGAUUGGCAAUUUCAACAGUAUAUACAUUGUGUUCCUUCGAUGGCUUGAUGUACGAUGAGAUGGAUCUUUCAUAUUCAUUCUGAAAAUCUUCAAAUAUGUGAGGUGUGUAAACUUUGCUUGCUUGUAUUACUGUAGGAGUUCUUAUUCUAACUCUAGGUAAUUUUUUCCUAGACUCAUAUUCUUCAUUUACCUCUUUAUCUCUCUUUCCUUUCACAACCCUCUCUACGUGCUUGAAAAAACAAAGAAUGUCAAGAUCAGACUUCAAAUGGUCUUUCAAGUCACUAUUCAAGCUCUCACUUGAUUGUGUGCUUCUCAUGCCUAUAGUGUAAGCAUUCCUCAUGUAACAUCUUGCCCAUUUCACUUUUACUUUAUAGAUACUGUCCAACCAAGUCUGUGUAUCCACAUUGACUCUUAUGGCAGUGAAAGCUUCUUCAAAGUCUUCCUCUUCCUCAUACUUGUACAUGCAAGCACUGAAAUCAGCAAGUACAUUUGGGCCAUCCUCGUCUUUUUUCUUAUGAGGAGAAGGAAGAGGCAAAAGGGAGAUCAUCUACAUUAAUAUCCUGUCAAUAAUUGGAAAUCCCAAGUACUUCACGAGCAAAGCACCUAUGGAGAAGGAUGGUAGAAGUGAGUUCAAAAGGGAGAUCAUCCACACCACUUGCAGAUCAGCGGGAGGAGAACAAUCAGUAGAGCGAUAGGGCAAAAGGGAGAUUUUUAUACCACAUAAACUUGCAGAUCAACGUGAAGAGGACAAAGAUAGGGCAAAAGGGGAUCUCUAUGCCGCCCAUAGAUCAACAUAUACCUUGGUCACGUUCUGGCUACAAGGAGGAGGAUCAAGGAGGACUGGGGAAGACGGGCGGGAUGAAGGCAUAGAGAUCGCUGUUUGGCGACAUCGUUCUGUUUGGCGACGAAGGCAUGGAAUCGCUAUUUGGCGCCAACGUGCGUUCUGUUUGGCGCCAAGCAGCCGUAGGAGAUUUUUCAGCAGACAAAUUGGGUGUUUGUUUUCAUUUUUUUAAAAGAAAUAAGUGGGGAAAUUAGAGUGGUCAGAUGGAA
Triticum dicoccoides is the source of this 2548-nucleotide RNA transcript. RefSeq lists it as uncharacterized. NCBI's taxonomy places the organism in Eukaryota, Viridiplantae, Streptophyta, Magnoliopsida, Poales, Poaceae. The transcript has 3 exons. The record is from RefSeq and is a predicted model, not a curated record.